CCACGCGCCCUCGGGCUGCCGCCGGCCGGCAGUUCUUAGGAGCGCGGACAGAGGGGUCGGCCGGGCCUUCCCACCCCCUUCCGCCCGCGCCCCCUUCCUUCCUCUCUGUUCUGUUCCGCUUUCUGGGCUGGGACGCGGAUGCAGAGGGGAGGGGAGACCCCAGAAGGGCCGGGCAUAUAGCUCCUCGGCCUGCUAAGGGGAGCCUGGUCCUCUCGGAAGAAGCACUGUCCUUUCUCGAGGGCCCAUAGGGUGGGCCAGCUGAGUUCCUCACCUCCUCGGUCUAGGGACCAAGGAUUACACAGCAGGCUUGCAAAGCAGUUUCAGAGACUGAACUGCCCUCUGGUCCACGGUGAAGAAAUUGAGGUUGAGAUCUUGCCUGGGUCCCCAGCUUGUCAGUGCUGGAGCCGGGACUUGCAUCCCGGCAUCCUGGCACCCAAGGCCACGUGCCCUGGUACCAUGCAGAUCCGCAGAGGAAAGGGGGGCUUGGAGACCAUGUGGGGCCCGGGGAGGGGCUCUGUCACUCAGCAGCUGCUGCACGUUUCUUUCUUUCUCCCUUCUUAAUGGCUUUUUUGGAGUAUAACUGACAUACUA
Long non-coding RNA from Aethalodelphis obliquidens (Pacific white-sided dolphin), 591 nucleotides. RefSeq lists it as uncharacterized. NCBI's taxonomy places the organism in Eukaryota, Metazoa, Chordata, Mammalia, Artiodactyla, Delphinidae. The record is from RefSeq and is a predicted model, not a curated record. The transcript has 3 exons.